Molecule: ribosomal RNA, 406 nt
Filed under: uncultured bacterium
Lineage: Bacteria
Description: partial 16S ribosomal RNA
Rfam family: Bacterial small subunit ribosomal RNA
Source: RNAcentral
AUUGAACGCUGGCGGCAUGCCUAACACAUGCAAGUCGAACGAGUGGCAGACGUGUGAGAAAUGUCUGGGAAACUGCCUUAUGAAGGGGGAUAACUACUGGAAACGGUAGCUAAUACCGCAUACCAUCAGAUGUGCCAAGAAUGGAUUAGCCUGUUGGUGGGGUAACGGCUCACAAAGGCGACGAUCCCUAGCUGGUCUGAGAGGAUGACCAGCCACACUGGAACUGAGACACGGUCCAGACUCCUACGGGAGGCAGCAGUGGGGAAUAUUCCGCAAUGGGCGCAAGCCGGAUGCAGCAAUGCCGCGUGUAUGAAGAAGGCCUUCGGAUUGUAAAGUACUGUCAGUGGGGAAGCGUUACCCGAAGAGAAAGCCCCGGCUAACUACGUGCCAGCAGCCGCGGUAAUAC